This 423-nucleotide ribosomal RNA is filed under the name uncultured bacterium. RNAcentral's name for it is "bacterial SSU rRNA". It matches the Rfam family "Bacterial small subunit ribosomal RNA", at positions 608 to 1029 of the family's 1533-position model. The record is from RNAcentral.
CUCAACCGGGGAACGGCGCAUGAAACUGGCGAACUAGAGUACGGAAGAGGGAGGUGGAAUUCCAGGUGUAGCGGUGAAAUGCGUAGAUAUCUGGAGGAACACCGGUGGCGAAGGCGGCCUCCUGGUCCGAUACUGACGCUGAGACGCGAAAGCGUGGGUAGCAAACAGGAUUAGAUACCCUGGUAGUCCACGCUGUAAACGAUGGGCACUAGGUGUCCGGGGUAUUGACCCCCUGGGUGCCGCAGUUAACGCAUUAAGUGCCCCGCCUGGGGACUACGGUCGCAAGACUAAAACUCAAAGGAAUUGACGGGGGCCCGCACAAGCGGUGGAGCAUGUGGUUCAAUUCGACGCAACGCGAAGAACCUUACCUGGGCUAGACAACGGUGGACCGCCCCAGAGAUGGGGUUUUCCCUUCGGGGACUG